UUCCGUAGGGGUGACCUGCGGAGGGAUCAUUACUGAGUUAUCCAAAAACUCCCAACCCUAUGUGAACUUACCACUGUUGCCUCGGCGAGCUGCGCUACCCUGUAGCUACUUUUGUAGCGACCUGGGAGCGCGUUAUAGGCUCGCCAGAGGACCACUAAACUCUGUUUUAUUUUGUAUCUCUGAAUCUUACAACUGAAAUCAGUUAAAACUUUCAACAACGGAUCUCUUGGUUCUGGCAUCGAUGAAGAACGCAGCGAAAUGCGAUAAGUAAUGUGAAUUGCAGAAUUCAGUGAAUCAUCGAAUCUUUGAACGCACAUUGCGCCCAUUAGUAUUCUAGUGGGCAUGCCUAUUCGAGCGUCAUUUCAACCCUUAAGCCUUAGUAGCUUAGCGUUGGGAAUCUACAGGUUACAGCGUAGUUCCUUAAAGGUAGUGGCGGAGUUAGAGCACACUCUAAGCGUAGUACUUGUUUCUCGCUUCUGGUAGUGGCUUUGGCGGCCGGCCGUGA
This 505-nucleotide ribosomal RNA is filed under the name Xylaria sp. DW2DD_7_23. RNAcentral describes it as "eukaryotic LSU rRNA". The stretch from base 207 to 360 matches the Rfam family "5.8S ribosomal RNA". Lineage: Eukaryota; Fungi; Ascomycota; Sordariomycetes; Xylariales; Xylariaceae. The record is from RNAcentral.